UACGAAGGGGGCUAGCGUUGCUCGGAAUCACUGGGCGUAAAGCGCACGUAGGCGGCUUCUUAAGUCAGGGGUGAAAUCCUGGGGCUCAACCCCAGAACUGCCCUUGAUACUGAGGAGCUUGAGUCCGGGAGAGGUGAGUGGAACUCCGAGUGUAGAGGUGAAAUUCGUAGAGAUUCGGAAGAACACCAGUGGCGAAGGCGGCUCACUGGCCCGGUACUGACGAUGAGGUGCGAAAGAGUGGGGAGCAAACAGG
This 253-nucleotide ribosomal RNA is filed under the name uncultured bacterium. Its description in RNAcentral is "partial 16S ribosomal RNA". It matches the Rfam family "Bacterial small subunit ribosomal RNA", at positions 524 to 776 of the family's 1533-position model. The record is from RNAcentral.